This 406-nucleotide ribosomal RNA is filed under the name uncultured bacterium. Its description in RNAcentral is "partial 16S ribosomal RNA". It matches the Rfam family "Bacterial small subunit ribosomal RNA", at positions 30 to 526 of the family's 1533-position model. The record is from RNAcentral.
AUUGAACGCUGGCGGCAGGCCUAACACAUGCAAGUCGAGCGAGCGGCGGACGGGUGAGUAAUGUCUGGGAAACUGCCCGAUGGAGGGGGAUAACUACUGGAAACGGUGGCUAAUACCGCAUCCUAUCAGCUGACCCCAUAUGGGAUUAGCUGGUAGUUGGGGUAAAGGCUCACCAAGGCGACGAUCUCUAGCUGGUCUCAGAGGAUUAUCAGCAAAACUGGUACUGAGCAACGGUCCAGACUCCUACGGGAGGCAGCAGUGGGGAAUAUUGCACAAUGGGCGCAAGCCUGAUGCAGCCAUGCCGCGUGUAUGAAGAAGGCCUUCGGGUUGUAAAGUACUUUCAGCGGGGAGGCGUUACCCGCAGAAGAAGCACCGGCUAACUCCGUGCCAGCAGCCGCGGUAAUUC